Paramuricea clavata is the source of this 410-nucleotide non-coding RNA. Lineage: Eukaryota; Metazoa; Cnidaria; Anthozoa; Malacalcyonacea; Plexauridae. The record is from the annotation of a GenBank genome assembly.
AUUUUACAUUCAAAUAUGACUACCAGUCAAUACAACAAUACUGUCAUCAUAAAUAAUCCUGACAUCUCCUCAAUAAAGGUCCGGUCUUCUUGUCAUAAUUAACCUUGUGGUAGGUAAGUCGUCAUUAAUGUUGUAUUGACUUAUUUAUUUAUUUAUUUACAGUUCACAAAGCUUGAUCUGUCUCCUGAAAGAAAUCAAUCCUCCCUGUCAUCACGGUUGGUCAUGCACAUAUAGGAUAGACAAUGAUCAUGUUUGUUCAGUGGGAUAGACCUUUCCCCUUAUGAGUGAAUUUUUUUAUAUAUAGACAAGCCUGGACAAAAAUUUCAUCACAGCUUGAAACACAAAAUUAGUAAUAUUCUGAAGUUUCAUUGCGAAAUGUUGUAAAAUGCGGAUAAUAUAGCCUUACGAAG